Molecule: ribosomal RNA, 548 nt
Filed under: uncultured Glomeromycotina
Lineage: Eukaryota; Fungi; Glomeromycota
Description: SSU rRNA
Rfam family: Eukaryotic small subunit ribosomal RNA
Source: RNAcentral
UUGGAGGGCAAGUCUGGUGCCAGCAGCCGCGGUAACUCCAGCUCCAAUAGCGUAUAUUAAAGUUGUUGCAGUUAAAAAGCUCGUAGUUGAAUUUCGGGGUCAGUAGGCUGGUCGUGCCACAGGUAUGUACUGGUCUCACUGAUUCCUCCUUCCUGAUGAACCGUAAUGCCAUUAAUUUGGUGUUGCGGGGAAUCUGGACUGUUACUUUGAAAAAAUUAGAGUGUUUAAAGCAGGCUAACGCUUGAAUACAUUAGCAUGGAAUAAUGAAAUAGGACGAUCGAUCCUAUUUUGUUGGUUUCUAGGAUUGACGUAAUGAUUAAUAGGGAUAGUUGGGGGCAUUAGUAUUCAAUUGUCAGAGGUGAAAUUCUUGGAUUUAUUGAAGACUAACUACUGCGAAAGCAUUUGCCAAGGAUGUUUUCAUUAAUCAAGAACGAAAGUUAGGGGAUCGAAGACGAUCAGAUACCGUCGUAGUCUUAACCAUAAACUAUGCCGACUAGGGAUCGGAUGAUGUUAAUUUUUUAAUGACUCAUUCGGCGCCUUACGGGAAA